AGAGUUUGAUUCUGGCUCAGGAUGAACGCUAGCUACAGGCUUAACACAUGCAAGUCGAGGGGCAGCAUUGGAGUAGCAAUACUCAGAUGGCGACCGGCGCACGGGUGAGUAACACGUAUCCAACCUGCCGCUUACUCGGGGAUAGCCUUUCGAAAGAAAGAUUAAUACCCGAUGGUAUAAAGAGUUCGCAUGUUCUCUUUAUUAAAGAAUUUCGGUAAGCGAUGGGGAUGCGUUCCAUUAGAUAGUUGGCGGGGUAACGGCCCACCAAGUCUACGAUGGAUAGGGGUUCUGAGAGGAAGGUCCCCCCACAUUGGAACUGAGACACGGUCCAAACUCCUACGGGAGGCAGCAGUGAGGAAUAUUGGUCAAUGGACGAGAGUCCGAACCAGCCAAAGUAGCGUGAAGGAUGACUGCCCUAUGGGUUGUAAACUUCUUUUAUAAGGGAAUAAAGUGAGGGACGUGUCCCUUUUUGUAUGUACCUUAUGAAUAAGGAUCGGCUAACUCCGUGCCAGCCGCCGC
RNAcentral lists this ribosomal RNA (519 nucleotides) under uncultured bacterium. Its description in RNAcentral is "bacterial SSU rRNA". It matches the Rfam family "Bacterial small subunit ribosomal RNA", at positions 8 to 518 of the family's 1533-position model. The record is from RNAcentral.